Long non-coding RNA from Balaenoptera ricei (Rice's whale), 724 nucleotides. RefSeq lists it as uncharacterized. The record is from RefSeq and is a predicted model, not a curated record. NCBI's taxonomy places the organism in Eukaryota, Metazoa, Chordata, Mammalia, Artiodactyla, Balaenopteridae. The transcript has 5 exons.
AACACGUGGAGAUUUGGGCAGAGUUUUGGGCCUGGAGAGGGCACGGACGCUCCGUGCCCCUCCCCCAUGCCUUGUCCUAUGCAUCUCUUCCAUUGGAUGUUCAUCUGUAUCCUUUAUCACAACCUGUAAUAAACUGCUAAACGAAAAAGAAGACAGCAAUAAUAAUAACAGAGAAACAUUCUGCAUGAUAAAAAGCCAUCUCUUGGCCGGCAACGACCCGAAUAUUCUACCCCCCGGGAAGCCUGUUUUGCAUUUGCAGCAAGAGGGCAUUGAGCUUCUUGCAUGUUACCCUUCAUAUACCAGGUCCUUGAAAAAGGGAUGAUGGUGAUGAGGAAGAUGAUGAUGGUUUCUACCUAGUAAAAAAAUCAAGAUGGCAGCUGGUGGGACUUCUUGGGCUCCAUGACCACUGCCGCACGGCAUGAGGGGAUCCUAGUUCCCCAACCAGGGAUCGAAUCCGUGCCCCCUGCAGUGGAAGCAGAGAGUCUUAACCACUGGACCUCCAGGGAAGUCCCUAAGUAUCUUUUAAAAUUCGGCUUAUAGGUUAUACCCUUUAUGAAGCCUUUUCUUCUUCCCUCCCCAAUCCAGAAGUAACCUCUCCUUGUUUAGUGCUUUCCUAACACUUAGUUUGCACUUUCCUAUUGGGACUUCAAACAUUUUGUAGUGUUAUUGUAGGGCUGUUCAUAGAGAUUGUACCAGUUUUAUUACCUGGAGGGUAGCAACUAGA